Molecule: unclassified non-coding RNA, 263 nt
Filed under: plant metagenome
Description: partial contains small subunit ribosomal RNA, internal transcribed spacer 1, and 5.8S ribosomal RNA
Source: RNAcentral
UUUCCGUAGGUGAACCUGCGGAAGGAUCAUUAUUGUAAAACCGAGGUGCGAGGGCUGUCGCUGACCCGAAAGGUCGUGCACGCCCGAGUCCCCUCACACACAUCCAUCUCACCCCUAUGUGCACCACCGCGUGGGUCCCCCUUUGGCUCGUUCGGAGGGGGGCUUACGUUUUCACACAAACUUUGUAUGCAGUGUAGAAUGUAUUUUUUGUUUUUGCGAUCACGCAAUCAAUACAACUUUCAACAACGGAUCUCUUGGCUCUC